Molecule: transfer RNA, 72 nt
Filed under: Anaerolineae bacterium
Lineage: Bacteria; Bacillati; Chloroflexota; Anaerolineae
Also listed under: 1 other name
Description: tRNA-Gly
Rfam family: tRNA
About the family: Transfer RNA (tRNA) molecules are approximately 80 nucleotides in length. Their secondary structure includes four short double-helical elements and three loops (D, anti-codon, and T loops).
Source: RNAcentral
GCGGGUGUAGUUCAGUGGUAGAACGACAGCUUCCCAAGCUGUAUGUCGUCGGUUCGAGUCCGAUCACCCGCU